This 925-nucleotide ribosomal RNA is filed under the name Polistes affinis. RNAcentral describes it as "partial large subunit ribosomal RNA". The record is from RNAcentral. Lineage: Eukaryota; Metazoa; Arthropoda; Insecta; Hymenoptera; Vespidae.
GGUUAAUUAAAUAUAAUUAUUUUUAUAAAAUUAAUCUCGAAUUUAAAAGAUUUAAUUAAAAAUUUUAAGUUAAUGUUGAAUUAUUAUUAUUAAUUUUUAAUUAGAAGUGAAAUGUUAAUCGUUUUUAAAUAUAUCUAGUUUUUUUAGAAUUGAAUUAAAUUCAGCUUUAAAAUUUUAAAUAUUUUAUGUAAAUUAAAUUUUAUAAAUUAAUUAUUUUAGAGUAAAUAUAUUCGGGAUAAAUUGAUUAUAUAUUUUAUAAAUUAAUUAUUAAUUUAUUUUUAAUAGUAAUUAUAAAAUUAGAUUUCUUUUUUAAAAAUGUUUUAAUUUAUAUUUGUUUAUUAGAUUAAUUUAAAAUUUAAUUUUUAGUUUUAAUAGUUUAUAAAAAUUUAUUAAUAAAUGAAAUUUUAUUAAAAAUAAUGAUUAUAUUAGUAAAUAAUAAAUUAUUGUAUAAAUAAUUUUAUAAUUUAAAUAUUUAAAUUUAAGGAAUUAGGCAAAAAUUUUAAUUUUUAAAUCUAUAUUUACCUGUUUAUCAAAAACAUGUCUUAUUGAUUAAAAUAAUAAGUUUAUUCUGCCCAUUGAAAUUAAUUUUAAAAGGCUGCAGUAUAUUAACUGUACAAAGGUAGCAAAAUCAAUAGUUUUUUAAUUGAAAACUUGAAUGAAAGAAUUAAUAAAAUAUAUUCUGUCUCAGAUUUAAUUUAUAAAAUUUAAAUAAAAAGUUAAAAUGCUUUUAUUAAUUUAUUAGACGAUAAGACCCUAAGAAUUUAAUAAAAUUAAUUUAUUAUUUAAUUUUGUGAAUAUAUAAAAAAUUAAAUUAAUUUUUUUUUAUUGGGAGGGUAAUUAAAUUUAUUAACUUUAAUUAUUAAUUAACAUUGAUAAAUGAUUAAUUUAUGAUAAUAUUAAUAAUUAUAAGAAUAAAUUACCUUAG